RNAcentral lists this ribosomal RNA (207 nucleotides) under uncultured bacterium. RNAcentral describes it as "partial 16S ribosomal RNA". It matches the Rfam family "Bacterial small subunit ribosomal RNA", at positions 568 to 774 of the family's 1533-position model. The record is from RNAcentral.
CGUGUAGGCGGUUUGGCAAGUCAGAGGUGAAAUGCCCCGGCUCAACCGGGGACCUGCCUUUGAAACUGCCGAACUUGAGGCCGUGAGGGGAGACUGGAAUUCCUAGUGUAGCGGUGAAAUGCAUAGAUAUUAGGAAGAACACCAGUGGCGAAGGCGAGUCUCUGGCACGGUUCUGACGCUGAGGCGCGAAAGCUAGGGGAGCGAACG